CCGUAAGGCUAGGGGUGCUCCGAUGCGAAUUGGGGCUGAGAAAAACCCUUUGAACCUGACUCCGGCUAAUACCGGCGUAGGGAAGCCAACUUCCCUGCGC
RNAcentral lists this non-coding RNA (100 nucleotides) under Methylotuvimicrobium alcaliphilum. RNAcentral describes it as "Methylomicrobium alcaliphilum TPP sequence". It matches the Rfam family "TPP riboswitch aptamer (THI element)". From Rfam's summary of the family: Vitamin B(1) in its active form thiamin pyrophosphate (TPP) is an essential coenzyme that is synthesised by coupling of pyrimidine and thiazole moieties in bacteria. The record is from RNAcentral. RNAcentral also lists the same sequence under 1 other name. Lineage: Bacteria; Pseudomonadati; Pseudomonadota; Gammaproteobacteria; Methylococcales; Methylococcaceae.